GCACUGCUGAGGAGUCCCACAAUAAAACAAAACGGCCGUCCAGUGC
This is a non-coding RNA of Schistosoma margrebowiei, 46 nucleotides long. The record is from Rfam. Lineage: Eukaryota; Metazoa; Platyhelminthes; Trematoda; Strigeidida; Schistosomatidae.